GGAGCGGCCGAUGUCUGAUUAGCUAGUUGGUAAGGUAAUGGCUUACCAAGGCAACGAUCAGUAGUUGGUCUGAGAGGACGACCAGCCACACUGGGACUGAGACACGGCCCAGACUCUACGGGAGGCAGCAGUGGGGAAUUUUGGACAAUGGGCGCAAGCCUGAUCCAGCAAUGCCGCGUGAGUGAAGAAGGCCUUCGGGUUGUAAAGCUCUUUCAGUUGAGAAGAAAAGAUUGUGACUAAUAAUUGCACUUCAUGACGGUAUCAACAGAAGAAGCACCGGCUAACUACGUGCCAGCAGCCGCGGUAAUACGUAGGGUGCGAGCGUUAAUCGGAAUUACUGGGCGUAAAGGGUGCGCAGGCGGUUCUGUAAGUCAGAUGUGAAAUCCCCGGGCUUAACCUGGGAAC
Molecule: ribosomal RNA, 405 nt
Filed under: uncultured beta proteobacterium Band07961
Lineage: Bacteria; Pseudomonadati; Pseudomonadota; Betaproteobacteria
Description: bacterial SSU rRNA
Rfam family: Bacterial small subunit ribosomal RNA
Source: RNAcentral